GAUGAAGAACGUAGUGAAAUGCGAUACUUGGUGUGAAUUGCAGAAUCCCGUGAACCAUCGAGUCUUUGAACGCAAGUUGCGCCCGAAGCCAUUAGGCCGAGGGCACGCCUGCCUGGGCGUCACACGUCGUUGCCCCCCCAUCUACUCCUUCGGGAUUGCGGGGGGCGGAUGAUGGCCUCCCGUGCGCCUCGCCGCGCGGUUGGCAUAAAUGCCAAGUCCUCGGCGACGCACGCCACGACAAUCGGUGGUUGCGAAACCUCGGUUGCCCGUCGUGUGCGGUCGUCGCGCAUCGAGGGCUCGAAAAAAUUGCCGGGUUCCGGCUCGGCUUUCAACGCGACCCCAGGUCAGGCGGGGUUACCCGCUGAAUUUAAGCAUAUCAAUAAGCGGAGGA
Molecule: unclassified non-coding RNA, 391 nt
Filed under: soil metagenome
Description: partial contains 5.8S ribosomal RNA, internal transcribed spacer 2, and large subunit ribosomal RNA
Rfam family: 5.8S ribosomal RNA (bases 1-122)
Source: RNAcentral